RNAcentral lists this ribosomal RNA (580 nucleotides) under metagenome. RNAcentral describes it as "bacterial SSU rRNA". It matches the Rfam family "Archaeal small subunit ribosomal RNA", at positions 796 to 1375 of the family's 1478-position model. The record is from RNAcentral.
CAGUGUCGAAGCGAAGGUAUUAAGUUCACCGCCUGGGAAGUACGGUCGCAAGGCUGAAACUUAAAGGAAUUGGCGGGAGAGCACCACAAGGGGUGCGGCGUGCGGUUUAAUCUAACUUUACGCAGAGAAUCUCACCAGCAGCGACGGCAGAAUGAAGGUCAGAUUAAAUGUCUUACCUAACGAGCCGAGAGGUAGUGCAUGGCCGUCGUCAGCUCGUGCCGUGAGGUGUCCUCUUAAGUGAGGUAACGAGCGAGACCCAUGCCCAUAAUUGCCAGCAGGUUCUUUAGAACGACUGGGCACAUUAUGGGGACUGCUGUGGAAACGCAGAGGAAGGUAUGGGCAACGGUAGGUCUGUAUGCUCCGAAUCUGCUGGGCUACACGCGCGCAACAAUGGCGAGGACAAUGGGAUGCAACACCGAAAGGUGAAGCUAAACCUCCAAACCUCGUCCUAGUCUAGAUUGAGGAUUGUAAUUCAUCCUCAUGACAACGGAAUCCCUAGUAAUCGGGUUUCAUCACGACCCGGUGAAUAUGUCCCUGCUCUUUGCACACACCGCCCGUCAAACCAACCGAGUUGGGUUUG